This 492-nucleotide ribosomal RNA is filed under the name uncultured soil bacterium. RNAcentral describes it as "bacterial SSU rRNA". It matches the Rfam family "Bacterial small subunit ribosomal RNA", at positions 26 to 540 of the family's 1533-position model. The record is from RNAcentral.
AGGACGAACGCUGGCGGCGUGCUUAACACAUGCAAGUCGAGCGGAAAGGCCACUUCGGUGGUACUCGAGCGGCGAACGGGUGAGUAACACGUGAGUAAUCUGCCCCUGGCUUUGGGAUAGCCACCGGAAACGGUGAUUAAUACCGGAUAUGACAUGUUCUCGCAUGAGGGUGUGUGGAAAGUUUUUCGGCCAGGGAUGUGCUCGCGGCCUAUCAGCUUGAUGGUGAGGUAAUGGCUCACCAUGGCUUCGACGGGUAGCCGGCCUGAGAGGGUGACCGGUCACACUGGGACUGAGACACGGCCCAGACUCCUACGGGAGGCAGCAGUGGGGAAUAUUGGACAAUGGGCGGAAGCCUGAUCCAGCAACGCCGCGUGAGGGAUGACGGCCUCGGUGUAAACCUCUUUCAGUACCGACGAAGCGCAAGUGACGGUAGGUACAGAAGAAGCACCGCCAACACGUGCAGCAGCCGCGUAAGUCUGAGCGGCGUGGACG